RNAcentral lists this long non-coding RNA (292 nucleotides) under Gossypium barbadense (sea-island cotton). RNAcentral's name for it is "long non-coding RNA (GBAR_LNC012194)". Lineage: Eukaryota; Viridiplantae; Streptophyta; Magnoliopsida; Malvales; Malvaceae. The record is from RNAcentral.
CAAAAUUUUAGUCUUGAUGUUAUGAAUAAUUCGGUUGAAAUAAGGAGAAUGGGAGUUGUCAUUUAGGUUAAGAACAAAGGAAUGAUCAAUAGGCAUUAAAAGGUUAAAUGUGUGAAAUUUAAGGUAUAAGAACCUAUAGGUAAUUACAUAGGUAAUGUUAAAAAUUAAUGUGGUAUAUUCGGCCAUGUAGAGUAUAUCCUAGAGAUAUUAUAUUUAAUUUCCUAUAAUCGGCUAAAUGGGUGAUAAUGGUUUAUAAUGUUGAAUUGAAUUAUGAUUAUGCACAUUAGAAUUA